UAUCGACCUCUGGGCCCAGUUGUUCAAAAGUGUCGUUAAGCUAACGCAGUCGUUAAAGUGUCGUUAGAGUGUCGUUAAAUUUAACAAAUUUGUUAACAGUUGUUCAAAAAAUUUAACGACAAAAAUAAUGAUAACGAGUCGUUAACUUUAACAACUUCUGGGAGGUCGAUUAAAUAUUUAAGUUAUUGUUAAACAUGGCCGCCUUUAGACAAGUACCUCACAGAAAAGAAAGGCAUUUUUGCCUAAAAGAUGACCUUUCUUUGAAUUUGUCAAAUGAGGAGUUACGAGAAC
This 291-nucleotide long non-coding RNA is filed under the name Mytilus galloprovincialis (Mediterranean mussel). The record is from RNAcentral. Lineage: Eukaryota; Metazoa; Mollusca; Bivalvia; Mytilida; Mytilidae.